This 92-nucleotide ribosomal RNA is filed under the name Escherichia coli. The record is from RNAcentral. Lineage: Bacteria; Pseudomonadati; Pseudomonadota; Gammaproteobacteria; Enterobacterales; Enterobacteriaceae.
UCUGGUGACAAUGGCAAGGAGGUCACACCUGUUCCCAUGCCGAACACAGAAGUUAAGCUCCUUAGCGCCGAUGGUAGUCGGACUGACGUUCC